GAUGAACGCUGGCGGCGUGCCUAAUACAUGCAAGUCGAGCGAACAGACGAGGAGCUUGCUCCUCUGACGUUAGCGGCGGACGGGUGAGUAACACGUGGAUAACCUACCUAUAAGACUGGGAUAACUUCGGGAAACCGGAGCUAAUACCGGAUAAUAUAUUGAACCGCAUGGUUCAAUAGUGAAAGACGGUUUUGCUGUCCCUUAUAGAUGGAUCCGCGCCGCAUUAGCUAGUUGGUAAGGUAACAGCUUACCAAGGCAACGAUGCGUAGCCGACCUGAGAGGGUGAUCGGCCACACUGGAACUGAGACACGGUCCAGACUCCUACGGGAGGCAGCAGUAGGGAAUCUUCCGCAAUGGGCGAAAGCCUGACGGAGCAACGCCGCGUGAGUGAUGAAGGUCUUCGGAUCGUAAAACUCUGUUAUUAGGGAAGAACAAAUGUGUAAGUAACUAUGCACGUCUUGACGGUACCUAAUCAGAAAGCCACGGCUAACUACGUG
Molecule: ribosomal RNA, 497 nt
Filed under: uncultured bacterium
Lineage: Bacteria
Description: partial 16S ribosomal RNA
Rfam family: Bacterial small subunit ribosomal RNA
Source: RNAcentral